GAUGAACGCUGGCGGCGUGCCUAAUACAUGCAAGUCGAACGGGGAGUCGCAAUACUCUUAGUGGCGAACGGGUGAGUAACGCGUUGGUACCUGCCCCGAAGCGGGGGAUAACGGACCGAAAGGUCCGCUAAUACCCCAUGUGCUCGGUAACGAGUAAAGGUGAAAACCACUUUGGGAGGGGCCUGCGUCCCAUCAGCUAGUUGGUAAGGUAACGGCUUACCAAGGCGAUGACGGGUAGGGGACCUGAGAGGGUGGCCCCCCACAAUGGAACUGAAACACGGUCCAUACACCUACGGGUGGCAGCAGUAGGGAAUAUUGGGAAUGGGCGCAAGCCUGAACCAGCAACGCCGCGUGGGCGAUGACGGCCUUCGGGUUGUAAAGCACUUUUGACGGGGACGAGGAAGGACGGUACCGGUCGAAUCAGCCUCGGCUAACUACGUG
RNAcentral lists this ribosomal RNA (441 nucleotides) under uncultured bacterium. RNAcentral's name for it is "partial 16S ribosomal RNA". It matches the Rfam family "Bacterial small subunit ribosomal RNA", at positions 28 to 507 of the family's 1533-position model. The record is from RNAcentral.